GGAUUUGUAGCUUAGUGGUAGAGCAGGGCCCUCUUAAGGCCAAGGUCGUGGGUUCAAUCCCCACCAGAUCCACCA
Molecule: transfer RNA, 75 nt
Filed under: Candidatus Altimarinota bacterium
Lineage: Bacteria; Candidatus Altimarinota
Description: tRNA-Lys
Rfam family: tRNA
About the family: Transfer RNA (tRNA) molecules are approximately 80 nucleotides in length. Their secondary structure includes four short double-helical elements and three loops (D, anti-codon, and T loops). Further hydrogen bonds mediate the characteristic L-shaped molecular structure. tRNAs have two regions of fundamental functional importance: the anti-codon, which is responsible for specific mRNA codon recognition, and the 3' end, to which the tRNAs corresponding amino acid is attached (by aminoacyl-tRNA synthetases). tRNAs cope with the degeneracy of the genetic code in two manners: having more than one tRNA (with a specific anti-codon) for a particular amino acid; and 'wobble' base-pairing, i.e. permitting non-standard base-pairing at the 3rd anti-codon position.
Source: RNAcentral